UACGUAGGUGGCAAGCGUUGUCCGGAUUUAUUGGGUUUAAAGGGUGCGUAGGCGGUCUAUUAAGUCAGUGGUGAAAUACUCCAGCUUAACUGGAGGGGUGCCAUUGAUACUGAUGGACUUGAGUGAAGUCGAGGUAGGCGGAAUUGACGGUGUAGCGGUGAAAUGCUUAGAUAUCGUCAAGAACACCAAUAGUGAAGACAGCUUACUAGGCUUAUACUGACGCUGAGGCACGAAAGUGUGGGGAUCAAACAGG
This 253-nucleotide ribosomal RNA is filed under the name uncultured bacterium. RNAcentral describes it as "partial 16S ribosomal RNA". It matches the Rfam family "Bacterial small subunit ribosomal RNA", at positions 524 to 776 of the family's 1533-position model. The record is from RNAcentral.